CCGGAGGGCUAGGCAGACUCCAAACCCUUGUGAACAUACCACGUUUGCCUCGGGCGAUCCCUGCCGCUCCGUACGGGAGCGCCCCCAGGAGGAUCUCCUAACACUGCAUUUCUAUAUGUACUUCGGAGUACCAGAAAUGAAAUCA
This 145-nucleotide unclassified non-coding RNA is filed under the name soil metagenome. RNAcentral's name for it is "partial internal transcribed spacer 1". The record is from RNAcentral.